Long non-coding RNA from Amphimedon queenslandica, 477 nucleotides. RefSeq lists it as uncharacterized. The transcript has 3 exons. NCBI's taxonomy places the organism in Eukaryota, Metazoa, Porifera, Demospongiae, Haplosclerida, Niphatidae. The record is from RefSeq and is a predicted model, not a curated record.
AAAUAUCUACUGAUUUAACCUCUUCCUUUUUAGUAUCCGCCAUUUAUCACCACUCCUCCACCAUACCUCCAGUAUCCUCAGUGUCUGGUUAGUGACUCCUUUAUUAUCUCAUUAUAGGCACAUUAAAACUGAAGCUAUUGAAGACUAAGUCAAGUUGUAUGGUAGUGUGUGUAUUAUAUCAUAUUAUACUGGCUCUAUUGUUUUAUGUAGGACAACCAGUCAGUAUUUCAAUGAUCCAUUCAUUCAUUAUUGGUACGUGUGUAUUAUUAUUAUGUACACUCUAUGUUUGUAGGUAAUAAAGUCCUGCCCUAAUCUUUAUACAUGAUAUUACUCAGGAUACUAUUUCAAGUGUCGAUAUUACUCAGUAUAAUGUUUCAAGUCUCAUCUAUUGUACAGUAAAUGUGUUGUUCUUGUAUUAUUAUCUAUUUUACAGGUUAUAUUCAUGUACUUGAUCCAUUCAGGAUAUUUUAAGUAUUG